This 75-nucleotide transfer RNA is filed under the name Parvularcula sp. Its description in RNAcentral is "tRNA-Val". It matches the Rfam family "tRNA". From Rfam's summary of the family: Transfer RNA (tRNA) molecules are approximately 80 nucleotides in length. Their secondary structure includes four short double-helical elements and three loops (D, anti-codon, and T loops). RNAcentral also lists the same sequence under 2 other names. Lineage: Bacteria; Pseudomonadati; Pseudomonadota; Alphaproteobacteria; Parvularculales; Parvularculaceae. The record is from RNAcentral.
GGGCGUAUAGCUCAGUGGUAGAGCACUACGUUGACAUCGUAGGGGUCCCAAGUUCGAACCUUGGUACGCCCACCA